This 859-nucleotide ribosomal RNA is filed under the name uncultured Flavobacteriaceae bacterium. Its description in RNAcentral is "bacterial SSU rRNA". It matches the Rfam family "Bacterial small subunit ribosomal RNA", at positions 36 to 887 of the family's 1533-position model. The record is from RNAcentral. Lineage: Bacteria; Pseudomonadati; Bacteroidota; Flavobacteriia; Flavobacteriales; Flavobacteriaceae.
CUAGCGGCAGGCCUAAUACAUGCAAGUCGAACGGUAACAUUGGUGCUUGCACCAGAUGACGAGUGGCGCACGGGUGCGUAACGCGUAUGCAACCUACCUUUUACUAGAGUAUAGCCCAGAGAAAUUUGGAUUAAUCCUCUAUAACAUCUUUUAAUUUCAUGAUUUUAAGAUUAAAGUUUUAACGGUAAAAGAUGGGCAUGCGUCCUAUUAGUUUGUAGGUGAGGUAACGGCUCACCUAGACUACGAUAGGUAGGGGCCCUGAGAGGGGGAUCCCCCACACUGGUACUGAGACACGGACCAGACUCCUACGGGAGGCAGCAGUAAGGAAUAUUGGACAAUGGACGAAAGUCUGAUCCAGCCAUGCCGCGUGCAGGAUGACAGCCCUACGGGUUGUAAACUGCUUUUAUACAGGAAGAAACACUCCGACGUGUCGGAGCUUGACGGUACUGUAAGAAUAAGGAUCGGCUAACUCCGUGCCAGCAGCCGCGGUAAUACGGAGGAUCCAAGCGUUAUCCGGAAUCAUUGGGUUUAAAGGGUCCGCAGGCUGUUUUUUAAGUCAGAGGUGAAAUCCUACAGCUCAACUGUAGAACUGCCUUUGAUACUGGAAAACUUGAGUUAUUGUGAAGUGGUUAGAAUGUGUGGUGUAGCGGUGAAAUGCAUAGAUAUCACACAGAAUACCGAUUGCGAAGGCAGAUCACUAACAAUAUACUGACGCUCAUGGACGAAAGCGUGGGGAGCGAACAGGAUUAGAUACCCUGGUAGUCCACGCCGUAAACGAUGGAUACUAGCUGUUCGUCUAACAUUGGUUAGAUGAGUGGCUAAGCGAAAGUGAUAAGUAUCCCACCUGGGGAGUACGGUC